This 1945-nucleotide ribosomal RNA is filed under the name metagenome. Its description in RNAcentral is "bacterial LSU rRNA". It matches the Rfam family "Bacterial large subunit ribosomal RNA", at positions 3 to 1982 of the family's 2925-position model. The record is from RNAcentral.
UCAAGCAACUAAGCGCAUACGGUGGAUGCCUUGGCAGUCAGAGGCGAUGAAAGACGUGGAAGCCUGCGAUAAGGUUCGGGGAGCUGGCAAACAAGCUGUGAUCCGGGCAUUUCUGAAUGGGGAAACCCACCUAGUUUCGGCUAGGUAUCUUGCACUGAAUACAUAGGUGUAAGAGGCGAACCGGGGGAACUGAAACAUCUAAGUACCCCGAGGAAAAGAAAUCAACCGAGAUUCCCUAAGUAGCGGCGAGCGAACGGGGACUAGCCCUUAAGCUAGACAACUGGUAGGAGAAGGCUCUGGAAAGUGCCGCCAUAGUGGGUGAUAGCCCCGUAUCCGAAACCUGAGUCUAGUGAAAUCGAGUAGGACGGGACACGUGAUAUCCUGUCUGAACAUGGGGGGACCAUCCUCCAAGGCUAAAUACUCCUGACUGACCGAUAGUGAACCAGUACCGUGAGGGAAAGGCGAAAAGAACCCCUGUGAGGGGAGUGAAAUAGAUCCUGAAACCGUAUGCGUACAAGCAGUCGGAGCAGACUUGUUCUGUGACGGCGUACCUUUUGUAUAAUGGGUCAGCGACUUAUGUUCAGUGGCGAGGUUAACCGUUUAGGGGAGCCGUAGGGAAACCGAGUCUGAAUAGGGCGAUUUAGUCGCUGGGCAUAGACCCGAAACCGGGCGAUCUAUCCAUGAGCAGGUUGAAGGUGCCGUAACAGGCACUGGAGGACCGAACCCACUGUCGUUGAAAAGCCAGGGGAUGACUUGUGGAUCGGAGUGAAAGGCUAAUCAAGCCCGGAGAUAGCUGGUUCUCCCCGAAAGCUAUUUAGGUAGCGCCUCGGACGAAUACCACAGGGGGUAGAGCACUGUUUCGGCUAGGGGGUCAUCCCGACUUACCAACCCGAUGCAAACUCCGAAUACCUGUGAGUACUAUCCGGGAGACACACGGCGGGUGCUAACGUCCGUCGUGAAGAGGGAAACAACCCAGACCGCCAGCUAAGGUCCCCAAAUUCCAGUUAAGUGGGAAACGAUGUGGGAAGGCUCAGACAGCUAGGAGGUUGGCUUAGAAGCAGCCAUCCUUUAAAGAAAGCGUAAUAGCUCACUAGUCGAGUCGGCCUGCGCGGAAGAUGUAACGGGGCUCAAACUGGUUACCGAAGCUGCGGCUGCAUACUCUGUAUGCGGGGUAGGGGAGCGUUCUGUAAGCCUGCGAAGGUGAGUUGAGAAGCUUGCUGGAGGUAUCAGAAGUGCGAAUGCUGACAUGAGUAACGACAAUGGGAGUGAAAAACUCCCACGCCGGAAGACCAAGGUUUCCUGCGCAACGCUAAUCGGCGCAGGGUGAGUCGGCCCCUAAGGUGAGACCGAAAGGUGUAAUCGAUGGGAAACGGAUUAAUAUUUCCGUACCUUGGAUAGCUGCGAUGGAGAGACGGAGAAGGCUAGGUGAGCUGGGCGACGGUUGUCCCGGUUUAAGCGUGUAGGGAGUGGGUUUAGGCAAAUCCGGACCCACAAUUCUGAGACGCGACGACGAGCACCCUUAACGGGAGCGAAGUCAUUGAUGCCAUGCUUCCAGGAAAAUCUUCUAAGCUUCAGGCUAUUUGAGACCGUACCCCAAACCGACACAGGUGGUCAGGUAGAGAAUACCAAGGCGCUUGAGAGAACUCGGGUAAAGGAACUAGGCAAAAUGGUGCCGUAACUUCGGGAGAAGGCACGCCGGUGGUAUGUGACGCCCUUCGCGGGUUGAGCAGAAGCCGGUCGAAGAUACCAGGCCCCUGCGACUGUUUAUUAAAAACACAGCACUGUGCAAACUCGUAAGAGGACGUAUACGGUGUGACGCCUGCCCGGUGCCGGAAGGUUAAUUGAUGGGGUUAUCCUUAGGGAGAAGCUCUUGAUCGAAGCCCCGGUAAACGGCGGCCGUAACUAUAACGGUCCUAAGGUAGCGAAAUUCCUUGUCGGGUAAGUU